AAGGGCACCACAAGAACGCGUGGAGCAUGUGGCUUAAUUUGACUCAACGCGGGAAAUCUUACCGGGUCCGGACACACUGAGGAUUGACAGGUAUUUUGUAAUAGGUUAAUGAAGAGAAAAAUUUUUUUAUUUUUUUUUUCAUCCUGUUACUACUAAAUAUGCUAGUCCUUUCAUGAUUGUGUGAUAGGUGGUGCAUGGCCGUUCUUAGUUCGUGGAGUGAUCUGUCUGCUUAAUUGCGUUUCAUAUUUGGACUUUACAGUAAUGGUUUCGUGUAAAAAAGCUUAUUUGUAUUUUACAAGAUUUUGUUAUUGUUAUUUUAUUUAAUCUAAUUAAAUUUAAUAUACAUCAAAAACCCUUGUUUUACUAAAUAAUGUUCUUUUUUGCGAUUCCAUGUUAAAGUCCUGAAGGCAACGAACGUGACCG
RNAcentral lists this ribosomal RNA (423 nucleotides) under Velamentofex sp. RNAcentral describes it as "partial small subunit ribosomal RNA". It matches the Rfam family "Eukaryotic small subunit ribosomal RNA", at positions 1160 to 1441 of the family's 1831-position model. Lineage: Eukaryota; Foraminifera; Velamentofexidae. The record is from RNAcentral.